AGGUGUAUAGCUACUAUCAGAACUGGUUAUCAACGAAGUAGACCAGCAGACAGUCACAGCAUGAUAGAUAAUGUACUAUCAGUAUUUUGAAUUGAAAACAAGCCUAUAGAACAAAUGCUCUACAAAGAUACAAGAGGGGCUGUUGCUAGCUAGAGCCAAAGAAGUCAUUACAGUUUGGACUCAAAGGAGUGGGUUCACUGCUGAUAUUCUAAAUACCAACAGGACAAGAAACAGAGUGCUACAAACAAGGAAUGAAGUUGGUACAUAUUGUUUCUGGAGGGAACACAAGGGAAAGAUGAUUGCUUGCAAUGGUACGUCCUAACUGUCACAGUGAAUGGUUCCACCACAACUUAAUGCAUUGGGGAUACUGUCCAUAUUGUCGUAAAGUGGUUUCAUUACAAGUAUAUACAUAAUUGAUUAUUAUGUAUUUUGUUUGUAUUAUUAUUUUCCAGUAAUAAUUUUUUUCUGAAACAAGUAUUUCUAAAAUGAAUUUACUAAAGUAGCACA
This is a long non-coding RNA of Amphimedon queenslandica, 507 nucleotides long. RefSeq lists it as uncharacterized. The record is from RefSeq and is a predicted model, not a curated record. Lineage: Eukaryota; Metazoa; Porifera; Demospongiae; Haplosclerida; Niphatidae. The transcript has 2 exons.